Molecule: unclassified non-coding RNA, 244 nt
Filed under: plant metagenome
Description: partial contains small subunit ribosomal RNA, internal transcribed spacer 1, and 5.8S ribosomal RNA
Source: RNAcentral
UCUCCGUUGGUGAACCAGCGGAGGGAUCAUUACCAGAGUUUUACAACUCCCAACCCUUCUGUGAACCUACCUAUCGUUGCUUCGGCGGACUCGCCCCAUCGUCCGGACAGCCCCGCGCCGUCCCGCGACCUUGACCCAGGCGGCCGCCGGUUACCACUCAAACCUGUAUCCAUCAGUCUCGCGGAAUCCGCCUCAAGGCAAAACAAACGAAUCAAAACUUUCAACAAUGGAUCUCUUGGUUCUG